CUCCAUGCAUUUACCUCACCUCCAGAAUCUUCCCUCACUUCCCAGACCUGUCCUUCAGUCAGGAUCUUCAUGUUCUCUUUGGGCCUCAUUUUCUCCCUGGAACCCACCUCUCAGCACCAACUCUUCUUUCUGGAAACCAAGCCUCCAGCUUCUCCAGGCCAGAUAGUCUUUUGAUUCAACUGUCAACAACUCCAAGGCCGUCUACAUCCAGAUCUGAAGCGAUGUUGUCAUCUUCUACAUAACGAAGUAACACUUCC
RNAcentral lists this long non-coding RNA (257 nucleotides) under Gallus gallus (chicken). The record is from RNAcentral. Lineage: Eukaryota; Metazoa; Chordata; Aves; Galliformes; Phasianidae.